CGCCUGUUUAUCAAAAACAUCGCCUCUUGUUAAUAAUAGGAGGUCCAGCCUGCCCAGUGACAAAGUUUAACGGCCGCGGUACCCUAACCGAGCGAAGGUAGCAUAAUCACUUGUUCUUUAAAUAAGGACUUGUAUCAAUGGCACCACGAGGGUCGUACUGUCUCCUUUCUCCAAUCAGUGAAACUGAUCUUCCCGUGAAAAAGCGGGAAUACACAUAUAAGACGAGAAGACCCCAUGGAGCUUUAAACCUCCAGCAACUUAACUAUAAAUUCCUUCACACCCCUAAAGAAAUGCUUGUUGGUUUUAGGUUGGGGUGACCACGGAGUAAAAACUAACCUCCGCAACGCAUAACCUAAAUUUUUAUUUAAGAGCCACAACUCUAAAAAAUAGUAUACUAACGUACACUGAUCCGAUAAUCGAUUAAUGAACCAAGUUACCCUGGGGAUAACAGCGCAAUCUAUUUUAAGAGUUCAUAUCGACAAAUAGGCUUACGACCUCGAUGUUGGAUCAGGGUAUCCCAGUGGUGCAGCCGCUACUGAUGGUUCGUUUGUUCAACGAUUAAAACCCUACGUGAUCUGAG
Molecule: ribosomal RNA, 580 nt
Filed under: Kurixalus odontotarsus
Lineage: Eukaryota; Metazoa; Chordata; Amphibia; Anura; Rhacophoridae
Description: partial 16S ribosomal RNA
Rfam family: Bacterial large subunit ribosomal RNA
Source: RNAcentral